AGGCCGAGGUGCCAAGAAGCUUUACUGUUAGUGUAGUCCAUAUGGUGAAUGUGAUAGGACAAGGAAAGAACAAAUGGUCUCUACUUUCUUCCUUCUCUCCACAGAACAUACAACCUUGUGGGAUCCCCCACUGCCAGAUAAGAACACCUGUGGAGAGCUAUCCUUGAAAGCCAGCAAGACGAUGAAAGUAUGACGUGGUACGCC
Molecule: long non-coding RNA, 204 nt
Filed under: Brassica napus (rape)
Lineage: Eukaryota; Viridiplantae; Streptophyta; Magnoliopsida; Brassicales; Brassicaceae
Description: long non-coding RNA (BNAP_LNC013941)
Source: RNAcentral